AUAAUAGCAGUACAGUCAGACAAACAAGUCAAGGUGAGAAUGUGGAAAGAUCAGAAGAAACUGAAUAACUAGCCAAGGUCACGAAAUGGAGACAUCAGUAGAGCGAAUGAGUAAGCCAAGAUCAUUAUCAAAAUAGACAGUAAACAAGGAACAUGCUAUUGGGUCUAAGGAAAACCACAAAAAGGUGCAAGGCCGCUGAAGAGAUGGUGCCACGAUUAAUGUUGCAU
Molecule: non-coding RNA, 227 nt
Organism: Pelobates cultripes (western spadefoot toad)
Lineage: Eukaryota; Metazoa; Chordata; Amphibia; Anura; Pelobatidae
Source: the annotation of a GenBank genome assembly